UCUAGGCGUCGACCGGCGCACGGGUGAGUAACGCGUAUCCAACCUGCCCAUCACUUGGGGAUAACCUUGCGAAAGUAAGACUAAUACCCAAUGAGGUCUCUAGAAGACAUCUGAAAGAGAUUAAAGAUUUAUCGGUGAUGGAUGGGGAUGCGUCUGAUUAGCUUGUUGGCGGGGUAACGGCCCACCAAGGCGACGAUCAGUAGGGGUUCUGAGAGGAAGGUCCCCCACAUUGGAACUGAGACACGGUCCAAACUCCUACGGGAGGCAGCAGUGAGGAAUAUUGGUCAAUGGACGAGAGUCUGAACCAGCCAAGUAGCGUGCAGGAAGACGGCCCUAUGGGUUGUAAACUGCUUUUAUAAGGGAAUAAAGUGAGUCUCGUGAGACUUUUUGCAUGUACCUUAUGAAUAAGGACCGGCUAAUUCCGUGCCAGCAGCCGCGGUAAUACGGAAGGUCCGGGCGUUAUCCGGAUUUAUUGGGUUUAAAGGGAGCGUAGGCCGGAGAUUAAGCGUGUUGUGAAAUGUAGACGCUCAACGUCUGCACUGCAGCGCGAACUGGUUUCCUUGAGUACGCACAAAGUGGGCGGAAUUCGUGGUGUAGCGGUGAAAUGCUUAGAUAUCACGAAGAACUCCGAUUGCGAAGGCAGCUCACUGGAGCGCAACUGACGCUGAAGCUCGAAAGUGCGGGUAUCGAACAGGAUUAGAUACCCUGGUAGUCCGCACGGUAAACGAUGGAUGCCCGCUGUUGGUCUGAAUAGGUCAGCGGCCAAGCGAAAGCAUUAAGCAUCCCACCUGGGGAGUACGCCGGCAACGGUGCAACUCAAAGGAAUUGACGG
This 832-nucleotide ribosomal RNA is filed under the name uncultured Bacteroidota bacterium. RNAcentral's name for it is "bacterial SSU rRNA". It matches the Rfam family "Bacterial small subunit ribosomal RNA", at positions 83 to 916 of the family's 1533-position model. Lineage: Bacteria; Pseudomonadati; Bacteroidota. The record is from RNAcentral.